RNAcentral lists this transfer RNA (70 nucleotides) under Verrucomicrobiales bacterium. Its description in RNAcentral is "tRNA-Lys". The stretch from base 7 to 66 matches the Rfam family "tRNA", at positions 7 to 64 of the family's 71-position model. From Rfam's summary of the family: Transfer RNA (tRNA) molecules are approximately 80 nucleotides in length. Their secondary structure includes four short double-helical elements and three loops (D, anti-codon, and T loops). Lineage: Bacteria; Pseudomonadati; Verrucomicrobiota; Verrucomicrobiia; Verrucomicrobiales. The record is from RNAcentral.
GGGCUGGUAGCUCAGUUGGUAGAGCAGCGGCCUUUUAAGCCGUUGGUUGGGGGUUCGAGUCCCCCCGCUC